Molecule: ribosomal RNA, 731 nt
Filed under: Curtobacterium sp.
Lineage: Bacteria; Bacillati; Actinomycetota; Actinomycetes; Micrococcales; Microbacteriaceae
Description: bacterial SSU rRNA
Rfam family: Bacterial small subunit ribosomal RNA
Source: RNAcentral
CAUGCAGUCGAACGAUGAUGCCCAGCUUGCUGGGUGGAUUAGUGGCGAACGGGUGAGUAACACGUGAGUAACCUGCCCCUGACUCUGGGAUAAGCGUUGGAAACGACGUCUAAUACUGGAUAUGAUCACUGGCCGCAUGGUCUGGUGGUGGAAAGAUUUUUUGGUUGGGGAUGGACUCGCGGCCUAUCAGCUUGUUGGUGAGGUAAUGGCUCACCAAGGCGACGACGGGUAGCCGGCCUGAGAGGGUGACCGGCCACACUGGGACUGAGACACGGCCCAGACUCCUACGGGAGGCAGCAGUGGGGAAUAUUGCACAAUGGGCGAAAGCCUGAUGCAGCAACGCCGCGUGAGGGAUGACGGCCUUCGGGUUGUAAACCUCUUUUAGUAGGGAAGAAGCGAAAGUGACGGUACCUGCAGAAAAAGCACCGGCUAACUACGUGCCAGCAGCCGCGGUAAUACGUAGGGUGCAAGCGUUGUCCGGAAUUAUUGGGCGUAAAGAGCUCGUAGGCGGUUUGUCGCGUCUGCUGUGAAAUCCCGAGGCUCAACCUCGGGCUUGCAGUGGGUACGGGCAGACUAGAGUGCGGUAGGGGAGAUUGGAAUUCCUGGUGUAGCGGUGGAAUGCGCAGAUAUCAGGAGGAACACCGAUGGCGAAGGCAGAUCUCUGGGCCGUAACUGACGCUGAGGAGCGAAAGCAUGGGGAGCGAACAGGAUUAGAUACCCUGGUAGUCCAU